GUAUUUUACAACUUUGGUCCGGUCACCUAAAAAUAAUAACCAUCUCUGACAAGUACUAUAUCAAAUCCUUUUCCUAUGCCUUUCAUUCCCACAACAAGUGAGCUUAAGAAUCAUCAUCAUGAUUGAUGUUACAGAUGAGAAAACUGAGACUAAAAGCUUCCCAAAUAAGAAAUAACCAACUCAAAGCUCAAACCCAGAUCAUCUUACUUCAGGUUGUUCACUAAUGCAUUCUACAAACAUCAACUGAAGUCACAUGCACCAAGCACUAUGCUACAUAAAUAACACCCACCAGUUAGAAAGCUUAUGGAGAUUGUACAGAUAAACAUAACAGACAGGUUAACUAUAGGUGCCAAUACCUUUCCUAACUGCCUCCACAUUUGUCAUUGGGAUAAGUGUAUAUUAAAUAUUUGAGAGCACAUUUCAUAAGUAAAACUCCAAAUGCAGUUUAUUCCAUCUCUCCCUUCUUGCAUGUAGGUAGCUGAAAAGAGCCAGCUGCCCAUCCUACAGAAUGAGACCAGAAGGUGAUGCAUCUGAUGUCUACAGUUUGCCAACAAAGUCAUUCUCCCCACUUCAGUCUCUUGGCAAGGAGGAGGCAAGAACUGACUGAUAUAAACCUGCCACCUGCCGGAGCCAAGAGGAACAAACCAAAAUUCCAGGUGAAGCCUGGUGAGAUUGAAUACUGAGGAAUCUCAAGAAAGGAAGGCAUGAAGACUUUGCAUGGAACGAAGUCAGGCUGACCUAAGCACAAAUCCCAACGUGGCCACUUACCAGCUAUAUCACUGCGACCGUAUGAUUCAACCUCUGUAAACCUCCAUUUUAUUGCCUGUAAAAUGAGAUUACUGGCAAUCAAAUGUAUGUUGAAUGAAUGAAUGAGAAAAAUGCACCAAUACAUUUUUGUUGGUAGGAUUAGAAAAACAUAUAUACGUAAAGCACCUACUGUAAUGCAUGGCACGGUCAAAAAAUAAAUGAGUAUAAAAUCAUUUAUUUAAAUAGUUCUAGUCUUUCUCUGCAUUGAGCACCCUGCAAUCAGCUCAGCUCAUAUGUGUGUAAUGCAGAAAUUUUUUGUGAGAAAAUCAAAACAAAACUUUGUCCUGAAUCCCUUACGCAGAUUUAUAUAAGCCAGGACCAAUCAACUUCAACUCGUCCAAGACCUGAAAUCAAAAAAUAAAAGAUAUUAUCAUUCUGUGAUCUGAGGUAUUCUCAAUAGAGGAGGAAAUCUAUAGAAGAAAGGUUAUUCUACCAAUUUCACUGUGUAAACUUUGGUGGGAUUUGCCAUCCAUUCCUACAUACAUGUAUGUGGUACUCAAAGAUUUCAAAAAGCAAGUUUUAGAGUAAUUUUCCUUAAUCAGCUGUCUCGUGAUAC
This 1363-nucleotide long non-coding RNA is filed under the name Callithrix jacchus (white-tufted-ear marmoset). Its description in RNAcentral is "lncRNA (ENSCJAG00000085697.1)". The record is from RNAcentral. Lineage: Eukaryota; Metazoa; Chordata; Mammalia; Primates; Cebidae.